UACGUAGGUGGCAAGCGUUAUCCGGAUUUAUUGGGCGUAAAGCGAGCGCAGGCGGUUUUUUAAGUCUGAUGUGAAAGCCUUCGGCUUAACCGAAGAAGUGCAUCGGAAACUGGGAAACUUGAGUGCAGAAGAGGACAGUGGAACUCCAUGUGUAGCGGUGAAAUGCGUAGAUAUAUGGAAGAACACCAGUGGCGAAGGCGGCUGUCUGGUCUGUAACUGACGCUGAGGCUCGAAAGCAUGGGUAGCGAACAGG
RNAcentral lists this ribosomal RNA (253 nucleotides) under uncultured bacterium. Its description in RNAcentral is "partial 16S ribosomal RNA". It matches the Rfam family "Bacterial small subunit ribosomal RNA", at positions 524 to 776 of the family's 1533-position model. The record is from RNAcentral.